Molecule: ribosomal RNA, 308 nt
Filed under: uncultured bacterium
Lineage: Bacteria
Description: bacterial SSU rRNA
Rfam family: Bacterial small subunit ribosomal RNA
Source: RNAcentral
AACGAACGCUGGCGGCGUGCUUAACACAUGCAAGUCGAACGCGAAAGUUUCUUUCGAGAAGCGAGUAGAGUGGCGCACGGGUGAGUAACGCGUAAGUAAUCUACCCUGAUGUUCGGGAUAACCCACCGAAAGGUGAGCUAAUACCGGAUACGCUGGAGACAGGAAAGGUGGCCUCUUCAUGAAAGCUACUGCAUCAGGAGGAGCUUGCGUACCAUUAGCUAGUUGGUAGGGUAAAGGCCUACCAAGGCGACGAUGGUUAGCGGGUCUGAGAGGAUGAUCCGCCACACUGGAACUGGAACACGGACCAG